Molecule: long non-coding RNA, 585 nt
Organism: Gastrolobium bilobum
Lineage: Eukaryota; Viridiplantae; Streptophyta; Magnoliopsida; Fabales; Fabaceae
Exons: 4
Source: RefSeq, a predicted model, not a curated record
CACAUUUUACACACUUAUCUUUUAUCUUGCUUUUCUUUCAUUUGUAUCUGAUACCUUUCACUGAACAAAUGGAGCUGAUGUGUAUUUCAAUUGUUUCCUUCUUUUUGUGCUGCUGGAAAGGUCUCUCGUAUAGCUCUGAGAAGCUCGUAAGCAUCAAUGACUACGUAUCAACUGUUCCGAGAAACAUGGACUUUGUCUUUGUGGCAGGAGCAAUGGCUCAUGGGAAGAUUGAGACAGAUUAUACAGAUGAGAUUAUAGCAAUUUUUGGGUACCCUCUAAGUGCUGCUUAGUGUAUUACAAGGAUUUGUGGUGCCCUUGAGGGAAAGUGGAAGAUUUUGUGAUUUAGCUUCUUCAUUUCAUGCCUGAGAUACAAUUUACUAAUUUAUGUAGCAUAUGCAGUUUAUGUAACAUCAGGGAUAUAUAGUGCCCUGCCAAGCAAACAUGUAAGAAAUACUCGUUAAAUAUUUGAGUUUUCUUUAGGGUCUGAUGCCUUGAACCAGAGCAGGGCUUUAAAGUUAAUUAUUGAGUGACAAUAUUGUAUUUGAAUUAAAUAUUCCUACCAUGCUUCUGAAAAUAUUAUUUGGU